UACGGGGGGGGCAAGCGUUGUUCGGAAUUACUGGGCGUAAAGGGCUCGUAGGCGGCCAACUAAGUCGGACGUGAAAUCCCCAGGCUCAACCUGGGAACUGCGUCUGAUACUGGAUGGCUUGAAUCCGGGAGAGGGAUGCAGAAUUCCAGGUGUAGCGGUGAAAUGCGUAGAUAUCUGGAGGAACACCGGUGGCGAAGGCGCACAUCUGGCCCGAUACUGACGCUGAGGCGCGAAAGCUAGGGGAGCAAACGGG
This 253-nucleotide ribosomal RNA is filed under the name uncultured bacterium. Its description in RNAcentral is "partial 16S ribosomal RNA". It matches the Rfam family "Bacterial small subunit ribosomal RNA", at positions 524 to 776 of the family's 1533-position model. The record is from RNAcentral.